Molecule: ribosomal RNA, 448 nt
Filed under: uncultured bacterium
Lineage: Bacteria
Description: bacterial SSU rRNA
Rfam family: Bacterial small subunit ribosomal RNA
Source: RNAcentral
ACUCCUACGGGAGGCAGCAGUGGGGAAUAUUGCACAAUGGGGGAAACCCUGAUGCAGCCAUGCCGCGUGUGUGAAGAAGGCCUUCGGGUUGUAAAGCACUUUCAGUAGGGAGGAAGGUAGUGUAGUUAACACCUGCAUUAUUUGACGUUACCUACAGAAGAAGCACCGGCUAACUCCGUGCCAGCAGCCGCGGUAAUACGGAGGGUGCGAGCGUUAAUCGGAAUUACUGGGCGUAAAGCGCAUGCAGGCGGCCUGUUAAGUCAGAUGUGAAAGCCCGGGGCUUAACCUCGGAAUUGCAUUUGAAACUGGCAGGCUAGAGUCUUGUAGAGGGGGGUAGAAUUUCAGGUGUAGCGGUGAAAUGCGUAGAGAUCUGAAGGAAUACCAGUGGCGAAGGCGGCCCCCUGGACAAAGACUGACGCUCAGAUGCGAAAGCGUGGGGGAGCAAACA